Molecule: ribosomal RNA, 241 nt
Filed under: Bacillus sp. 413_3T
Lineage: Bacteria; Bacillati; Bacillota; Bacilli; Caryophanales; Bacillaceae
Description: partial 16S ribosomal RNA
Rfam family: Bacterial small subunit ribosomal RNA
Source: RNAcentral
CCUGUAAGACUGGGAUAACUCCGGGAAACCGGGGCUAAUACCGGAUGCUUGAUUGAACCGCAUGGUUCAAUCAUAAAAGGCGGCUUCGGCUGCCGUUUACAGAUGGACCCGCGGCGCAUUAGCUAGUUGGUGAGGUAACGGCUCACCAAGGCGACGAUGCGUAGCCGACCUGAGAGGGUGAUCGGCCACACUGGGACUGAGACACGGCCCAGACUCCUACGGGAGGCAGCAGUGGUCAUAG